CCUACGGUGGCAGCAGUAGGGAAUUUUCGGCAAUGGGGGGAACCCUGACCGAGCAACGCCGCGUGAAGGAAGAAGGAAUUCGUUCUGUAAACUUCUGUUAUAAAGGAAGAAAGACGGAUGGAGGAAAUGCCAUCCGAGUGACGGUACUUUCUGAGAAAGCCAAGGCUAACUACGUGCCAGCAGCCGCGGUAAUCCGUUGGUGGCAAGCGUUUUCCGGAAUUUUUGGGCGUAAAGGGGGAGCAGGCGGCAGCAAAGGUAUGUGGUGAAAGAUUGAAGCUUAACUUCAGUAAGCCAUAGAACACGGGCAGCUAGAGGGCAGGAGAGGAGCGUGGAAUUCCAGGUGUAGCGGUGAAAUGCGGAGAGAUA
RNAcentral lists this ribosomal RNA (366 nucleotides) under uncultured bacterium. RNAcentral's name for it is "partial 16S ribosomal RNA". It matches the Rfam family "Bacterial small subunit ribosomal RNA", at positions 338 to 698 of the family's 1533-position model. The record is from RNAcentral.